Molecule: ribosomal RNA, 366 nt
Filed under: uncultured bacterium
Lineage: Bacteria
Description: bacterial SSU rRNA
Rfam family: Bacterial small subunit ribosomal RNA
Source: RNAcentral
AUUGAACGCUGGCGGCAUGGCUAAAACAUGCAAGUCGAGCGCGAAAGAGGAGCAAUCCUCUAGUAGAGCGGCGAAAGGGUGAGUAAUACGUUCCUAUGUACCCCGAGGUCAGGGAUAGCCCAGGGAAACCUGGAGUAAUACCUGAUGUGGCCUCCGGAUCAAAGGCUUGCCGCCUUGGGAGCAGGGAACGUCCUAUCAGGUAGUUGGUGAGGUAAUGGCUCACCAAGCCAUUGACGGUAGCGGGUGUGAGAGCAUGGCCCGCCACAUCGGGACUGAGACACUGCCCGGACUCCUACGGGAGGCUGCAGUAACGAAUCUUCCGCAAUGCGCGAAAGCGUGACGGAGCAAUGCCGCGUGCAGGAUGAA